RNAcentral lists this ribosomal RNA (234 nucleotides) under uncultured bacterium. RNAcentral describes it as "partial 16S ribosomal RNA". It matches the Rfam family "Bacterial small subunit ribosomal RNA", at positions 15 to 240 of the family's 1533-position model. The record is from RNAcentral.
GAUCAUGGCUCAGGAUGAACGCUAGCGGCAGGCUUAACACAUGCAAGUCGAGGGGCAGCAUAAUGGAUAGCAAUAUCUAUGGUGGCGACCGGCGCACGGGUGCGUAACGCGUAUGCAACCUACCUUUAACAGGGGGAUAACACUGAGUAAAUUGGUACUAAUACCCCCAUAAUAUCAUAGAAGGCAUCUUUUAUGGUUGAAAAUUCCGAUGGUUAGAGAUGGGCAUGCGUUGUA